UGGGGAAUAUUGCACAAUGGGCGCAAGCCUGAUGCAGCCAUGCCGCGUGUGUGAAGAAGGCCUUCGGGUUGUAAAGCACUUUCAGCGAGGAGGAAGGGUUCAGUGUUAAUAGCACUGUUCAUUGACGUUACUCGCAGAAGAAGCACCGGCUAACUCCGUGCCAGCAGCCGCGGUAAUACGGAGGGUGCAAGCGUUAAUCGGAAUUACUGGGCGUAAAGCGCACGCAGGCGGUUUGUUAAGUCAGAUGUGAAAUCCCCGCGCUUAACGUGGGAACUGCAUUUGAAACUGGCAAGCUAGAGUCUUGUAGAGGGGGGUAGAAUUCCAGGUGUAGCGGUGAAAUGCGUAGAGAUCUGGAGGAAUACCGGUGGCGAAGGCGGCCCCCCUGGACAAAGACUGACGCUCAGGUG
RNAcentral lists this ribosomal RNA (407 nucleotides) under uncultured bacterium. Its description in RNAcentral is "partial 16S ribosomal RNA". It matches the Rfam family "Bacterial small subunit ribosomal RNA", at positions 355 to 753 of the family's 1533-position model. The record is from RNAcentral.